UACAGAGGGUGCGAGCGUUUAAUCGGAAUUACUGGGCGUAAAGCGCGCGUAGACGGUUUUGUAAGUCAGAUGUGAAAUCCCUGGGCUCAACCUGGGAACUGCAUUUGAGACUGCAUGGCUAGAGUAUCGAAGAGGGAAGUGGAAUUUCCGGUGUAGCGGUGAAAUGCGUAGAUAUCGGAAGGAACACCAGUGGCGAAGGCGGCUCACUGGUCCGGUACUGACGCUGAGGUGCGAAAGCGUGGGGAGCAAACAGG
This 254-nucleotide ribosomal RNA is filed under the name uncultured bacterium. RNAcentral describes it as "partial 16S ribosomal RNA". It matches the Rfam family "Bacterial small subunit ribosomal RNA", at positions 524 to 776 of the family's 1533-position model. The record is from RNAcentral.